AAAGAUUUAGUUAAAUUAUAACAUUAGAAUGUCAAACUAAAAUUAUUUUAAAAUAAAUAAUCUUUA
RNAcentral lists this transfer RNA (66 nucleotides) under Stenischia humilis. Its description in RNAcentral is "tRNA-Asp". Lineage: Eukaryota; Metazoa; Arthropoda; Insecta; Siphonaptera; Hystrichopsyllidae. The record is from RNAcentral.